GACGAACGCUGGCGGCGUGCCUAAUACAUGCAAGUAGAACGCUGAAGGAGGAGCUUGCUUCUCUGGAUGAGUUGCGAACGGGUGAGUAACGCGUAGGUAACCUGCCUGGUAGCGGGGGAUAACUAUUGGAAACGAUAGCUAAUACCGCAUAAUAGUAGAUGUUGCAUGACAUUUGCUUAAAAGGUGCAAUUGCAUCACUACCAGAUGGACCUGCGUUGUUUUAGCUAGUUGGUGGGGUAACGGCUCACCAAGGCGACGAUGCAUAGCCGACCUGAGAGGGUGAUCGGCCACACUGGGACGGAGACACGGCCCAGACGCCUACGGGAGGCAGCAGUAGGGAAUCUUCGGCAAGGGGCGGAAGUCUGACCGAGCAACGCCGAGUGAGUGAAGAGGGUUGUCGGGUCGUAAAGCUCUGUUGUAAGGGAAGAACGAGUGUGAGAGUGGAAAGUUCACACUGUGACGGUAUCUUACCAGAAAGGGACGGCUAACUACGUG
Molecule: ribosomal RNA, 495 nt
Filed under: uncultured bacterium
Lineage: Bacteria
Description: partial 16S ribosomal RNA
Rfam family: Bacterial small subunit ribosomal RNA
Source: RNAcentral